AAAAACAUUUCCUCUUGGUAUAAGAGGUAAGGCCUGCUCACUGACUAGGUUGAAGAGCCGCAGUAUAUUGACUGUGCUAAGGUAGCAUAAUCAUUAGUCCUUUAAUUGGGGACUGGUAUGAAUGGCUAAACGAGAAAUUAGCUUUCUUUGUUAUGGUUUGUUGAAUUUAACUUGUAAGUGAAAAGGCUUACAUGAUUCAGAAAGACGAGAAGACCCUAUAGAGUUUUACAAAGGCCUAAAAUACAGCUUAUUAGUUUUUAAGGGUUAUAUUUUGGAAAUUUGUUUGGUUGGGGCGACAUAAAGAUAAAAAAAACUCUUUGUAGUAUAAACUUUGGUGGAAGAAAAGGUUUGAUCCUCUAAAAGGGAUUAUAAGAAAAAAUUACCUUAGGGAUAACAGCGUAAUCUUCUUUUAGAGUUCAAAUCGACAAGAAGGUUUGCGACCUCGAUGUUGGACUAAAAUUUGGGCAAGGUGCAGCAGCUUUGUUUUUGGGUCUGUUCGACCCGUAAUAUUUUACAUGAUCUGAGUU
RNAcentral lists this ribosomal RNA (527 nucleotides) under Capitulum mitella. RNAcentral's name for it is "partial large subunit ribosomal RNA". It matches the Rfam family "Bacterial large subunit ribosomal RNA", at positions 1809 to 2611 of the family's 2925-position model. Lineage: Eukaryota; Metazoa; Arthropoda; Thecostraca; Pollicipedomorpha; Pollicipedidae. The record is from RNAcentral.